This 72-nucleotide transfer RNA is filed under the name Hypnea edeniana. RNAcentral's name for it is "tRNA-Ala". It matches the Rfam family "tRNA". From Rfam's summary of the family: Transfer RNA (tRNA) molecules are approximately 80 nucleotides in length. Their secondary structure includes four short double-helical elements and three loops (D, anti-codon, and T loops). The record is from RNAcentral. Lineage: Eukaryota; Rhodophyta; Florideophyceae; Gigartinales; Hypneaceae.
GGGUAUAGCGUAAUAAGGUAACGUGUUUGCUUUGGGUGUAAAAGAUUACAGGUUCGAGUCCUGUUGCCCUAA